Molecule: ribosomal RNA, 440 nt
Filed under: uncultured bacterium
Lineage: Bacteria
Description: bacterial SSU rRNA
Rfam family: Bacterial small subunit ribosomal RNA
Source: RNAcentral
CCUACGGGUUGCACCAGUGGGGAAUAUUGGACAAUGGGCGAAAGCCUGAUCCAGCAAUGCCGCGUGUGUGAAGAAGGUCUUCGGAUUGUAAAGCACUUUCGACGGGGACGAUGAUGACGGUACCCGUAGAAGAAGCCCCGGCUAACUUCGUGCCAGCAGCCGCGGUAAUACGGAGGGUGCGAGCGUUAAUCGGAAUUACUGGGCGUAAAGGGCGCGUAGGCGGUUUAUGCAGUCAGAUGUGAAAUCCCCGGGCUUAACCUGGGAACUGCAUUUGAGACGCAUAGACUAGAGGUCGAGAGAGGGUUGUGGAAUUCCCAGUGUAGAGGUGAAAUUCGUAGAUAUUGGGAAGAACACCGGUGGCGAAGGCGGCAACCUGGCUCGAUACUGACGCUGAGGCGCGAAAGCGUGGGGAGCAAACAGGAUUAGAUACCCUCGUAGUC